RNAcentral lists this non-coding RNA (95 nucleotides) under Streptomyces sp. M41(2017). RNAcentral's name for it is "Streptomyces RNA 3202". It matches the Rfam family "Streptomyces RNA 3202". From Rfam's summary of the family: Identified by deep sequencing of transcriptome at the end of exponential growth phase. Appears smaller on northern blot than sequencing transcript. The record is from Rfam by way of RNAcentral. Lineage: Bacteria; Bacillati; Actinomycetota; Actinomycetes; Kitasatosporales; Streptomycetaceae.
CCGAGUCCCGACGCACACCCCCCCCCCGCGCCGGGACUCUUCCAGAGCCGGGCUCCGGCGCCUUCCCCCCCCUGGCGCCGGGGCCCGGCUCCAUG